This 253-nucleotide ribosomal RNA is filed under the name uncultured bacterium. Its description in RNAcentral is "partial 16S ribosomal RNA". It matches the Rfam family "Bacterial small subunit ribosomal RNA", at positions 524 to 776 of the family's 1533-position model. The record is from RNAcentral.
UACAGAGGUCUCAAGCGUUGUUCGGAUUCAUUGGGCGUAAAGGGUGCGUAGGUGGCGCCGUAAGUCAGGUGUGAAAUCUCGGGGCUUAACCCCGAAACUGCACUUGAUACUGCGGUGCUCGAGUACUGGAGAGGAGAUUGGAAUUUACGGUGCAGCAGUGAAAUGCGUAGAUAUCGUAAGGAAGACCAGUGGCGAAGGCGAAUCUCUGGACAGUUACUGACACUGAGGCACGAAGGCCAGGGGAGCAAACGGG